UACGUAGGGCGCAAGCGUUAUCCGGAAUUAUUGGGCGUAAAGAGCUCGUAGGCGGUUUGUCGCGUCUGCCGUGAAAGUCCGGGGCUCAACUCCGGAUCUGCGGUGGGUACGGGCAGACUAGAGUGAUGUAGGGGAGACUGGAAUUCCUGGUGUAGCGGUGAAAUGCGCAGAUAUCAGGAGGAACACCGAUGGCGAAGGCAGGUCUCUGGGCAUUAACUGACGCUGAGGCGCGAAAGCGUGGGGAGCGAACCGG
RNAcentral lists this ribosomal RNA (253 nucleotides) under uncultured bacterium. RNAcentral describes it as "partial 16S ribosomal RNA". It matches the Rfam family "Bacterial small subunit ribosomal RNA", at positions 524 to 776 of the family's 1533-position model. The record is from RNAcentral.